GGAACGGCUUGCCAUAUGUGAUAAAGCGUCUCCAAAACACAGACGAGCGUCUGCAAAAACGACGACAACAACAACAUCAAAUGUAAACAAACUACCUUUAGGCAGAAAAACUAGCUCAACAAUGGGUUAGACUAAGGACCUUUCAGCUCAUUCUGUUGUGUAAUAUACGCAGUUUUCAAAACUAUGCAGGCUUGAAGCACGAGUGCGUUGCCAAUAUAUCAACUCCGCCACUCCUGAUCUGGUUGAAUCUUUAGAGAAUACUAUUAGUUUCAGAUACAUGUUGUAAAUAGAAGAGUAGAAAGCAAAAUGGCGUGACUGAUUAUUCCCGAUUUGAAUGAAAGAAGAUGGACUCCUGCAAGAUUUGCCAUCAACAGAUCGAAGGCCAAGCAAAGGCGGUAAAGCUAAGUCAAAAGGGCUGUGAUGGUAUAAAUGAUGCUUGUGAUAAACGAAAUGACAGUUUACAUGUUAAACCUGGUGACUAUGUUCAUGUUGAGUGCAGAAAACAUUAUUGUAAUCCAAAUUGUAUAAAACGUGACACUAGGGAAUGCAAAGUAAUUAAUGAUUCACCAUUGUCACCUCUGAGAUCGAAAAAUGUUAAA
This is a long non-coding RNA of Mercenaria mercenaria, 599 nucleotides long. RefSeq lists it as uncharacterized. NCBI's taxonomy places the organism in Eukaryota, Metazoa, Mollusca, Bivalvia, Venerida, Veneridae. The record is from RefSeq and is a predicted model, not a curated record. The transcript has 5 exons.